AGAGAAAGCUGGCGGUAGGCCUAACACAUGCAAGUCGAACGGCAGCACAGUAAGAGCUUGCUCUUACGGGUGGCGAGUGGCGGACGGGUGAGGAAUACAUCGGAAUCUACUUUUUCGUGGGGGAUAACGUAGGGAAACUUACGCUAAUACCGCAUAUGACCUACGGGUGAAAGCAGGGGAUCUUCGGACCUUGCGCGAUUGAAUGAGCCGAUGUCGGAUUAGCUAGUUGGCGGGGUAAAGGCCCACCAAGGCGACGAUCCGUAGCUGGUCUGAGAGGAUGAUCAGCCACACUGGAACUGAGACACGGUCCAGACUCCUACGGGAGGCAGCAGUGGGGAAUAUUGGACAAUGGGCGCAAGCCUGAUCCAGCCAUGCCGCGUGGGUGAAGAAGGCCUUCGGGUUGUAAAGCCCUUUUGUUGGGAAAGAAAAGCAGCAGGCUAAUACCCCGCUGUUCUGACGGUACCCAAAGAAUAAGCACCGGCUAACUUCGUG
This 492-nucleotide ribosomal RNA is filed under the name uncultured bacterium. RNAcentral's name for it is "partial 16S ribosomal RNA". It matches the Rfam family "Bacterial small subunit ribosomal RNA", at positions 31 to 507 of the family's 1533-position model. The record is from RNAcentral.